AUGCUGGCGCGUGCUUCCUUUGCUGAUGUGGUUAGUCUGACCCCUCCCGCGCGGCCAAGGCUCCUCUCUCUGGUGGUUGCCCCGGAGCAGGCUGCCAUCCGACCGCCUCCCUCCUUGGAACCGCGUCUUGAUGGCCCUCGCCAUGCUGCUGCACCCCAUGCUGGGUCAGAUGCGGAGGGCUGGCAAGUUGUCUGUAGGAGGGGCGGACGGCAUGGGCAUGCACUUCCACCUCAGGAAGAAGCAUUCAUGGCGCACCAACGUGCUGCUCCCGACAUUAAUGGCGGCGGCGGCGGCUAUAAGGUAGACCUCUUCGGCCGCUGUUUCAGAUGCCUAGACCCCAACCACAAGGUCGCUGUCUGCCGCAACCCAACGCGCUGCCUCCACUGCCUGCGAGAGCGCCACACUGCUCGGUUCUGUCACCGCAAGCACCUCCCUCGGGUUUCGUUGUCCGAGCUUGACAGACCGCCUCCCAGCCCGCGGCGUCAAGGCCAGCCCCCGGUGCACACAAGGCUGGUGUUCCCGCCGGACCACCCUGUCUCGACCCACGCCCCGGUUCACUCGCGUCUUUGCUUCCCUUCACAGAACGCCGAGGCAGCUGCUGCGCCUCCGCCGCCGCCGCCGGGUCCGGACGUGGCUCCUGCUCCGGGCUCUGCGGUCAUGGACACCAACCAUGUCCUGGCCUCGGCUGCGCGCAGGGCUAGGAGGACCAAGUGCCUCAUCGACCGAGAUGCUGAGGUGGAGGCCGAGGAGCUGCGUUUGCGCGGGUCCGCCCUGAUGCUCUUCGUCGCCGGCUCCCGCCCUGCCCUGCUGCCGGCCAACAUCGCCGAGAGCAUCACCUCGGAGUUCCCGGACAUGCCAGCGACCGCGUUCCAGGUGUCGCUCUUCCAUGAUGGGUUCUUUGUCCGCUUCUUCAACGACCAAUGCUUUCGCGCCGUCGCCGACAAGAACAUGCUGCACUUCCAUGGCGUCCCCAUCAUUGUGCGUCGUUGGACAGGCCUCUCCUUCGCCACCUCCCACGCCAACCGCUACAGCGUGCGCCUGCUCCUCGAGGACCUGCCGCCGCAAGCUUGGUCCAUCGACAAGGUGCAGCGUAUGCUGCCGGAGUGCCUCAUCUAUCGCGUCGCCGCAGAGUCUCUUGAUAAGGAGGAUCUUUCCUACUUCGUUGCUAUUGCAUGGGUCGAGGACCUCGAGGAGGUGCCCACGGUCGCCACACUCACCGUGCGCGGUGAUCCAAAGCCAUGCUCAAACCCCCUUGCCCAUGUCUCCAUGCCGGUGGGCUUCUCGGAGGACGGCGACAUGGACGAGUCUUGUGCCUGCACCGACCACAUCCCGCGGUUGCUCCAUCAUAAGGUGCUGGUCCAUCUGGACUCGGCGGCCUUCUACCCGGCGCGGCCGGCCGGGGCGAUACGACGGUUCGAGCCGCGUGGCGACGGCGACGACCAAGGGGGUGAAGACGACGGCCCAGCUCCGGAGGAGCACCCGCUCCCUUGGGCACGUGGGUUUGCCGACGACGACUUCAGACGGUACCGUGAGGCCCAGGUCUUGCCCCUCCCCGAGCACCGCCACGCACGCCGCGGUGGAGGAUCACGCUACCACAGUAUUAUUGCAGCAGACGGUGGUUUAGCGCACCCUCUGCUGCUUGCCUCCUGCACUAACGGCAUCCCUGUGCCGGCAGUUUCGGCCAUCAGGGACGUUGCUCCGGCCUCUCCACGGCUUGACGACGUCCGCUCUAGCCCUGUGAUGCAUGUUGGACCAGUUCCUGACGUGCCGUCCGUUCCUCCUCUGAAGCCAAGCCAUGCGCUUCCAGCUCCGACAUCUGGCGAGCUCUCCAGACAAGAUAGCAGGGCUGACAUGCAGAUUGCCCUGCCCAUGAUAGGCACUCUGCGCGAUACUCCUGUGCCCUCGGAGUCCAGCCUGCUUCUUGCCCCUCUUGUGCCUGCGCAGUUGGCUGAGUCGUCGCCCCACCGGCUGCACGAGCCUGGUCAAGAUGUAGGACCGCGCGUGCUGACCCUGCCAGUUAACCACGACAUGGCUGAUGACUUCCUGGCGUCCGUGGAGCCGGUGGACCCGCAGCAGACCGUGUUCAAUGGGGAGGUUUGCGCAGAUGUGGCCCAGACAAUAUCGCCGGUUCACUCGCUGGCCUCCCGGCCCUUGGGCAGCUUGCGGCUAUCCAUUGGGCUGGGCUGCGCGUCGGGGCCUGAUGCGCAAACACCCGACCGGCCACCUACUGAGAGUCAGAUCGCCCUGCUGAGUCAGAGCACCCUCUCGCCGCCCCCAAACCCGAUUCAGGAGCUUAUCUCCAGGCUCACUUCCCCUGUCUCGGCACCGCUCCUCGCCGGACCAAGAUCCACCCCCAAGCCACACAAGCAAAAGCGCCAGUGCCGGCCGCCGGCGACGGCCACCAGGCGGAGCCUAAGAGUCCAGGGCAGAAAAGAUGCGGUCACUGGAGGGGGUAACACCUCCCUUCGGCUUGCACGGCGGCUUCUCGUUGGCAAGCGUGGUCUGGCCAUUGCGGAGCCGGGGGAGGAGGAAGAAGAGGCACUAGAGCGCUACAAGCUGACCUUCAAGAAACCCCUCUCCGACAGCCAAAUUAACGCCCUCUCCGCCUUGGCCAAAUCGGCCUCUGUCAGGUCUGGCCGGAAGGGCGGGUAUGCUUGA
RNAcentral lists this ribosomal RNA (2658 nucleotides) under Triticum aestivum (bread wheat). Its description in RNAcentral is "partial small subunit ribosomal RNA". Lineage: Eukaryota; Viridiplantae; Streptophyta; Magnoliopsida; Poales; Poaceae. The record is from RNAcentral.